This is a long non-coding RNA of Photinus pyralis (common eastern firefly), 2023 nucleotides long. RefSeq lists it as uncharacterized. NCBI's taxonomy places the organism in Eukaryota, Metazoa, Arthropoda, Insecta, Coleoptera, Lampyridae. The record is from RefSeq and is a predicted model, not a curated record. The transcript is spliced from 5 exons.
AACUAUGUCGUUACUGCCGUUCCCGGAGUGUUGUAUUUUUUCGGUUUGCUGCUAAUUUACGACGUGCGAUAUUAAAAUAAACUUAAAAAAGUCAAAUAAAAGACGGGAACAAUUCUGGCACAUAGUUCGUUUCGGUUCAUCAUACCUAAAUCGGUGUUUAAACUAUUAAACUACAAAAAGUUAUGGCGUCCCUUCUCCUUUUCGUACGAAUUUAAAUCGGCGUUUGCGUGUAGGAUCUCGGGACGCGACCACGUAAAUUUUGCUUUUGUUGUUAAAAUCAACGCUUAAAGUAACAAAAACCGGCGGGGAAGUGUUCACAAAUCGGUCUUUUCGAUGUCGUGUUAAAUGUUAUCGCAAGAACAAGAAGAUGGCGUUCUAUUUUAAAUUCGUUUGUUUGCGUUUAAAACUUAACGUUUUGUGCACCUUUUUUGAAUCAAGACGCCUAAGAUUUCAUUGAUAUGUUGAUGUGGGUUCUUGACGAACGAGGAGUGCCGGGGAAGUGUACAGUGUUUCAUCAUUACUUUGGUUGAUAUGGUUCUUCCCAGGACAGACUGAAUUAUUGAGGCUAAAGGAUUGCAGAAAGGCGGCCUCAUAAGGUAGGAUUUUUCCUUUUAUGCAUGGUGUAUUGCAUGUCAUUUUUUGUACGGGGGGAAAAGUGAAUAGUGAAUAUCAACCAGAAGGAAGACCAAUAAUUGUUCUGAGCAUGAGUUUCGUGUGUAUAGCUAUGAAAAUUGAAACAGUUUUCCCUGUCUGUCAUUCUAGUGACGUACGAUUGACUGCCAUGAUUCUUAGGGUAGACUUUUUCGCAGCGUCCAUCUGUUUCCUUCAUAUUGGCGAGUGUGACUGUGAAUUCACAGCCAUACCAGCUCUGUGAUGCAAACAGAUUUGCUCUACGAAUAAGCCUAAAGAAUCAUUGGUGUCGUUUUUUCCGUUCCCAAUUGCUGAGGGACUUUGAGGAUUAUUACAUUUUCAUUUAUUAUUGCACGAAGUUCAUCUUAGAGGAAGGUAAGUGCGUGGUCAUAAUAUAAUAAUGGAUUACUUCUAAAAACUUUAUGUGGUUACCUAGCUAAUCUCAUCGAUUGUUACAGGCGCCAUAUCGACGUCGCUCAACCUGCUGGUGAGGAUUAUGCUGACCGCCAGUGCCGGAUAAGUAUUCCUGAGGCAGGGUUUACCUACGAAAGCUCCCCUCCACCCCUCCCCUUAUCAAAAAUUUCAGUUCCAACUUUUACCUUCUAAGACUGUCAACAAACAAUUGAACAAGAAACUAAAUUUUUUGGUCCUCUGAUUGAUUAUUGAGAUUAUUGUUUGUAGCAUCCAGUUAUUUUGAAAUUAUACUUGCUUGCCACACUCUGUGCGGUACUUUUUAAUGGUCAAUAAGAAGUUACAGAUAUUUCCAAAUUUUCAAAAUACCAUAUUUACGAGAACAUUCGUAUUACUUGGAGUCCCUCCGGGUUUCCAGGGCUGUAGCCCCCAUUGUCUCCCUCUUAAUCCAGCGCUGCCUACGACCUCUGCGAUGCAUCAGCUCGAAUUCAAGCCUGCUUUCGACUCAGUUCAACGAUUAUAUCGACAUGGAUCACGCAAACGAGUUAUUGGUAAUGGCGUUCGAGGAGAAUCCUCCAUGCUAGUAGCUCGAGGUGUAUACCUACUACACCUACUUACAAUAGGUAAACAGGUGCUCGAAGCGGAGGAGACAGGACGACGCAUCCAGAAGUUGGCAUGCGGCGCCUUUUUAGUCGGCCGACCCCCGACCUCGUCUGAUUCACGUGCUCCCAAACUCUCGUUUCUCGGAACUCUCGCCUGUAUACGAUGAGUCACGCAACCCCUCCUUGCGUAAUCCCCCGGUGGUGUUGUGUGUGUGACUAAACUUGAACCCCUUUAUACGCGUCGUUAUGAAUGAAUGGGGGCGAAUUCUGCGAAAAGAGAUUGCAACCUCUGACCUUUAAUAGUAAUCUUUAGAUUCGCAAUUGUAAAUAAACGGCUUAUCGAGCAUCCGUUUUCGACAAACAUUUUUUUUAAUCAACUA